This 435-nucleotide long non-coding RNA is filed under the name Zalophus californianus (California sea lion). Its description in RNAcentral is "lncRNA (ENSZCAG00015019806.1)". The record is from RNAcentral. Lineage: Eukaryota; Metazoa; Chordata; Mammalia; Carnivora; Otariidae.
UUUGUCUUUAUGUAAGAUAUUUGUCUUUAUGUAAUAUAUAGUAGAAGAGUAUUUGUCUUAAUAAUAAUGUUUUAAAGUAAGACGUCGUUGUACCUUACACAGGGAAAGAACGGGACACAGGAUCUCCCGCCAGAUGAAGGGAAAGGAUGAACACAAGAGUACUGACAACAAAGAAGACUGGAGGUGACUUUUGUGAGAACACCCGUAACAGUGAGAGCAUCCCUCCGUAUGAACUGGGAAAAGGAAGAGGUGCAGGGGGCGUGGGAGUGCAGGGCAGCGCCCCCUGAGAAGAGGAACGGGCCUUACUCGCAUCUGCUGGUUAGCUCGGAGCCCCCUGCGGCGGAGGCCAAGGGGCCUGUGAAAAAACCAGCUGUCCCACGGCCACAUUCGAUGAUAUGUGGAAGGGAGGAGGUGGAGCAUUACCCUCUAACGUGA